AUACGUAGGUCCCGAACGUUGCGCGAAUUUACUGGGCGUAAAGGGUCCGCAGGCGGUCUGGUAAGUGGAAGGUGAAAUCCUGGGGCUCAACCUCAGAAUUGCCUUCCAAACUGCCGGACUUGAGGCAGGGAGAGGUCGGCGGAAUUCCCGGUGUAGCGAUGAAAUGCGUAGAUAUCGGGAGGAACACCGGUGGCGAAGGCGGCCGACUGGAACUGUCCUGACGCUCAGGGACGAAAGCCAGGGGAGCAAACCGGAUUAGAUACCCUAGUAGUCC
This 274-nucleotide ribosomal RNA is filed under the name uncultured bacterium. Its description in RNAcentral is "partial 16S ribosomal RNA". It matches the Rfam family "Bacterial small subunit ribosomal RNA", at positions 523 to 796 of the family's 1533-position model. The record is from RNAcentral.